AGUUUGAUCCUGGCUCAGGACGAACGCUGGCGGCGUGCUUAACACAUGCAAGUCGAACGGUGAUGUCAGAGCUUGCUCUGGCGGAUCAGUGGCGAACGGGUGAGUAACACGUGAGUAACCUGCCCCCGACUCUGGGAUAACUGCUAGAAAUGGUAGCUAAUACCGGAUAUGACGAUUGGCCGCAUGGUCUGGUCGUGGAAAGAAUUUCGGUUGGGGAUGGACUCGCGGCCUAUCAGGUUGUUGGUGAGGUAAUGGCUCACCAAGCCUACGACGGGUAGCCGGCCUGAGAGGGUGACCGGCCACACUGGGACUGAGACACGGCCCAGACUCCUACGGGAGGCAGCAGUGGGGAAUAUUGCACAAUGGGCGAAAGCCUGAUGCAGCAACGCCGCGUGAGGGAUGACGGCCUUCGGGUUGUAAACCUCUUUUAGUAGGGAAGAAGCGAAAGUGACGGUACCUGCAGAAAAAGCACCGGCUAACUACGUGCCAGCAGCCGCGGUAAUACGUAGGGUGCAAGCGUUGUCCGGAAUUAUUGGGCGUAAAGAGCUCGUAGGCGGUUUGUCGCGUCUGCUGUGAAAUCCCGAGGCUCAACCUCGGGUCUGCAGUGGGUACGGGCAGACUAGAGUGCGGUAGGGGAGAUUGGAAUUCCUGGUGUAGCGGUGGAAUGCGCAGAUAUCAGGAGGAACACCGACGGCGAAGGCAGAUCUCUGGGCCGUAACUGACGCUGAGGAGCGAAAGCAUGGGGAGCGAACAGGAUUAGAUACCCUGGUAGUCCAUGCCGUAAACGUUGGGAACUAGAUGUGGGGACCAUUCCACGGUCUCCGUGUCGCAGCUAACGCAUUAAGUUCCCCGCCUGGGGAGUACGGCCGCAAGGUUAAAACUCAAAGGAAUUGACGGGGGCCCGCACAAGCGGCGGAGCAUGCGGAUUAAUUCGAUGCAACGCGAAGAGCCUUACCAAGGCUUGACAUAUACCGGAAACAUGCAGAAAUGUGUGCCCCGCAAGGUCGGUAUACAGGUGGUGCAUGGUUGUCGUCAGCUCGUGUCGUGAGAUGUUGGGUUAAGUCCCGCAACGAGCGCAACCCUCGUUCUAUGUUGCCAGCACGUAAUGGUGGGAACUCAUAGGAGACUGCCGGGGUCAACUCGGAGGAAGGUGGGGAUGACGUCAAAUCAUCAUGCCCCUUAUGUCUUGGGCUUCACGCAUGCUACAAUGGCCGGUACAAAGGGCUGCGAUACCGUAAGGUGGAGCGAAUCCCAAAAAGCCGGUCUCAGUUCGGAUUGAGGUCUGCAACUCGACCUCAUGAAGUCGGAGUCGCUAGUAAUCGCAGAUCAGCAACGCUGCGGUGAAUACGUUCCCGGGCC
This 1359-nucleotide ribosomal RNA is filed under the name Clavibacter michiganensis subsp. michiganensis. RNAcentral describes it as "bacterial SSU rRNA". It matches the Rfam family "Bacterial small subunit ribosomal RNA", at positions 10 to 1380 of the family's 1533-position model. Lineage: Bacteria; Bacillati; Actinomycetota; Actinomycetes; Micrococcales; Microbacteriaceae. The record is from RNAcentral.